UCCCUGGUGGUCUAGUGGUUAGGAUUCAGCGUUUUCACCGCUGUGGCCCGGGUUUGAUUCCCGGUCAGGGAA
Molecule: non-coding RNA, 72 nt
Organism: Solea senegalensis (Senegalese sole)
Lineage: Eukaryota; Metazoa; Chordata; Actinopteri; Pleuronectiformes; Soleidae
Source: the annotation of a RefSeq genome assembly